CAGGGCUGCGUCUGAUCUCUGGGUGCAGAGGAGUCCACCCAAGGGGACAUAGGUGCUCUGAGACAGUGUUGCCAUUGACUCAGGGUCUGGCAUCCCCUCUUCUGAGUCACAUGCCCUUGUGACAAGAGGUGGGCGCUUUCAGUCUCCUGGGGAAGAAGCCUCAGCACAAAGUCAGAGACCCUGCCCGUGUUUGUACCUGUAACAUCCACUGUGUUCCAUCAAGAAUAAAAAGAUGACCUAAAAUCUACCAGCUCCCGAGAACAUAAUAAGUGCUUCCCAGACUUCUAUCAUCGUCAUUAGUAAGUUCCACAAGCUGCCUAGGAAUCCUGGGCCCUCCUGUGAAUGAACACAGUUUGAAUCAACCUAUCAACGACCCUCAGAUACAGCAUCCAGAUACAUCAUUGCCAAGGUGACGACCGUCUCCUACAACACCUAUUCCAGGCAAUCUGAAGAAAGAAAGCGCUGGAGCACUGGGCUAGAAUCAGAAGACCCACACUCGAGCUCCAGUCUGGCUCCCAGUUCGUUGGGUGGCCUUAAUUAGGACUCUUCUUCUCUGGCCAUUAGCUGCGGACUCUCUCAAAGCAGUGCACGGCCUAGGGAGGCUGCUAAAGCCCAUCAAACUAUGGUUCUCUGUAAGUGGCCUCUGAAGGUGCCCACAGCCAUCACAUACUUGACCUAUGGUACAGGAGCCACAGUCAUUGCAGACCACAGACUCCUUAAGAGACCCCAGCUGAAUUUUCAAGUGUCUGUAGCUUCCUUCUGUCUUCCAGCUCCUGGAAAUGAGGCCCUGAGGGAGCCUGACAAGGCCUGUCCUGGGAGGUGCCAGCGGAAAGGGAAGGAGAGUCCCAGGCAGAGAACCGAUUAAAUAGCAUUUUAUCCCAAUAAUGAUGUCUCCAAGAGAACCCCUCUAAGCACCAGAUCCACUCUCCAGGGGACACUAGUUAACAGCAAGACCAGCACAGAAGAGUUGAAGGACUCCUGUUGGUGGCCACCUGUCUCUUGUUGCCAUGGGUUGGUUCCAACAUGAAGGAAUAUUUUACCACAUAAAGAACCACUGCAGAACUUAAGUUACGUGUCUUCUCUCUACUUAUGUCAGUGGAAAAUGUACAAGAAAAAAGAAAGUGUCGUUUAAAACAACUAUUUUCUAAAGCAAAUGGUGUGAGCAAGAAAGAUGACACAUGAGCCAGGACAC
This 1192-nucleotide long non-coding RNA is filed under the name Felis catus (domestic cat). RNAcentral describes it as "lncRNA (ENSFCAG00000042935.2)". Lineage: Eukaryota; Metazoa; Chordata; Mammalia; Carnivora; Felidae. The record is from RNAcentral.